GAGUCGCUAGGCGCUUUCGGGGGCGCUGUGCCGGUGAGGCUUAGGCAAGGGGACGGGGAACCGUGGUUAGAUGCAGCAGCGGCGGCAGCAGCCCUCCCAGGUCCCACUUCUUUGGCGUUCCUGCUGCCUGUGACUCAAGACAAUUGACUUCCACCUGAACCCUCAGCUCCGAACGCCUUGCAUUAGAAGCUAGAGCUUUGGAGGUUCUGAGGACGGUCCCUGGGGAGCAAGUGAGACUGAGGCGCUGAAUGAUAGAGGGAAUAAACAUUUGCCCUGGAUAAAAAUGUUCUUGGCUGUUGUCCAGCUCUAAUGAUGUCCUAGAGCAGAAGUGUUUCUUCUGAUGUCUCAUUUUAACAAGAGGAUGAUGUCUGUGUAUGUCUCUGUGUUUUAGAGAGGCUGGCAAAUGCUGCUAAGAGGAUCUGAGGUUCACAUAAAGAGGAUGAAAAUUCUGAAUUACUUUCAUUGCAAAUAAACCUUAACAAUUGUGAGAGUUAGAGAGCAUACUUUUCACAUAAGACUUUGGUAUGCUGCCUAAAGCUACUUACAUAAUUUGCUAUUCAGAGAAAUGCAUUUGUUUAUUGAGGACCCACCCGGACUUAAAUUGGAAAAAUGUAACAUUCAGAUUUUUAUUUUAUAUGUGAAAUAAAUGUGUGAUUGCUGUUCUUAAAAAUUUGAAAAAAAAAGGAUAACAAGAAUAUUAAUUUUGUGACCCAUAGUUCAUGAACUUUAAAAGUGUUUACAGCAUUUAAAGUUUAUUUAACAAUUUAAGUAUUUGAGCACUAUACUAAUUCAUAUGGUUACAUUUGAUCAACUCCUUCAUGAAGCCAUAGGCUUUAUAUCUCCUAGCUGCCUUUUACCUUCAGAACAAAUCUGGUUUAUACUUAGAUUGCUCCAAAAGUUAUGCAUUUUAAUUUUAUGUUGAAAAUGUCUUUCUUAGAUAAUCACGGUGCAUAUUUGCAGCUAAUACUUUAGUAUAUUUUAUAUUAUUGGUAAUGCUUUUGUUAGCCAUCCUGGUGCUGCCUUCUUAUAAGAGCUAUGUAUGAGAACCAACUAAUAUAUUUCUUUUUUUUUUUUUUCUUUUUCUUACCUAUUAACCCACUAAAAUUUCUAAUCUAAAAGCAAUAUUCAAGUUACAUUUUAUUACAGAAAUUGGAAAGCAAUUUGCCUGGGAAGCAAAAUGUUGAUAUGAUUCAGGUGAUUUUAACAUUAAAUCUAACUUGUAACAAAAACGGAUUAUAUAAAGAUAAAUAAAUUGAGACUAUUAUUUGCAUAGCAAAGAAAGUCAAACAUGACCCACACAUUUAUGCACAUAUAAUUAAUUUCAAUAAAAUGUUUAUAUUUAAAAAAAAAAAAAAA
RNAcentral lists this long non-coding RNA (1356 nucleotides) under Homo sapiens (human). RNAcentral's name for it is "BRINP3 divergent transcript (BRINP3-DT)". The record is from RNAcentral. Lineage: Eukaryota; Metazoa; Chordata; Mammalia; Primates; Hominidae.